Long non-coding RNA from Panicum hallii, 1525 nucleotides. RefSeq lists it as uncharacterized. The record is from RefSeq and is a predicted model, not a curated record. NCBI's taxonomy places the organism in Eukaryota, Viridiplantae, Streptophyta, Magnoliopsida, Poales, Poaceae. The transcript has 3 exons.
ACGUUAGCCUAGGUACAACUACUUCAUACCCACCUUGGUGUAACCAGAAAACGGCAUUGAAGGAUCAUGCUGUGGUAUAAACUGCAUGAACACACCAGAGCUUUGGAAACUUACUCAACUGUUGAAGUACUAGAGACCAUUCACUGCAGAAACAAUAUUCAGAGUUUCAGACAAGCAACCAACAUGCAUAUAUCCAAAGUCCUGUCUCCAUGUAAUGCCAUGCACUCUAAUUUUGAGAUGCAUAUUUCCUGUGAAGCCAUGUUGACAAUUGUGGAGAAAUCACCAUGGAAGAUACACCCAUUAACCUGCGAUGCGGAGUGGCUUCGUUUUGUCUUUUCACCAAAGCAGGGCAUGAAAAAUCCCGGUAUGUAUUGGUUUUUGGGUGCUCUGAUAUUGGAGGCCAGAAUAGGGAUGGUGUUGGUGUUGGAGGCAUGCUAGGAGCACAGGAUGGAAGGAAAGCUUCCAGGAUUGGAGACAACUUCAGAUCUCUAAUUCUGCCAAAAAUUGAGGUAUUUAGACCAAGGUUCCUUGAACUCCAUUCUGUGAUGAUUUGGGCUAGCUGUUUCAGCCUGUAAGGCUGUAGAAAAUUGCUGCGAUCUAUCAGGGAAAUGGAAACUUGGACUGUAACUGGUGUUGCAACCGUUGAGCCAUUCGUAUUUGUUAACUUGACAAAUAAUUCCUGCAUUUGCAUUUUUGCAUAAAUAUGCUGCGACUUCAUGUCAAGAUCUUUAAAGGAAAAAAUAUUCAAGGUACAUGUGAAUUUAGCGCACGAGAGGGAUAGAGUGGGGGUGACCUCAUCUGGUGUCUGCUGCAAUAUUAAUGCAAGCUCACUCUUCAUCUCCUCAAGAAAUUCUCUUACUUCACGAAUUGUCAAGUCAAAUGUGAUGCUGAAAAUAGGCUGAAUUGAGUCUGCACGGGAAGCAUUAUGUGGAAGCAACACUGUAAUCCCUCCUGGGAAUCCCAGGAUCUCUAAGCAAAGUGGGUCUCCGAAAGUAGAUGGCGUCAGAGAUAAAUUCAGCUGCUGAAGUGUAAGUCUUAUCAAAGAUGUUCUUAGUGCCUUGAUGGAUUUUAUGCUCAUGGAGGUAUUUCUUGGGUCUGGAAGAACACCAAAUUUCACAUAAGUGGUAUUCGUAUAAUUGUAUGGACGCAUGGAAACUGAAACCUGCAGAAUUUUCAUCCAAUAUUCAGUUACUUGGCAAAUUGUUUGUGGUACUGAAGUGAACUUCAUACCUUACUAUUGGGCACGCCUAUUUGGUUAUAUAUCUCCUUUUCAAGCGUCCCGCCUUGUGAAGCUAUCUGUGACUCUGGCACUAACAAAAUGAAGCCUGCCUCGAUUUCUGCUUGAGAAACGAAUCUUUGGGUGUUAAAAGAAGGAGCUGUAACAUGUAGCCUUUGAAUUAGUUGUUCUUCUACGGAAUGAGUGAAGUCCCUGGACUUACCUGCGAGUAUGUCAGGGUCAUCAGGGACCCCUCCUCCUGAUGCCCGGAGAUGAAGCAGCAUGAAGAAGGCCGAGAGGAAGCCGCCG